AAUCCAUAGGUUAAUGAGGCGAACCGGGGGAACUGAAACAUCUAAGUACCCCGAGGAAAAGAAAUCAACCGAGAUUCCCCCAGUAGCGGCGAGCGAACGGGGAGGAGCCCAGAGCCUGAAUCAGCAUGUGUGUUAGUGGAAGCGUCUGGAAAGGCGCGCGAUACAGGGUGACAGCCCCGUACACAAAAGCGCAUGUGCUGUGAGCUCGAUGAGUAGGGCGGGACACGUGGUAUCCUGUCUGAAUAUGGGGGGACCAUCCUCCAAGGCUAAAUACUCCUGACUGACCGAUAGUGAACCAGUACCGUGAGGGAAAGGCGAAAAGAACCCCGGCGAGGGGAGUGAAAAAGAACCUGAAACCGUGUACGUACAAGCAGUGGGAGCACAGGUUUACCUGUGUGACUGCGUACCUUUUGUAUAAUGGGUCAGCGACUUAUAUUCUGUAGCAAGGUUAACCGUAUAGGGGAGCCG
RNAcentral lists this ribosomal RNA (468 nucleotides) under Salmonella enterica subsp. enterica serovar Muenchen. RNAcentral's name for it is "partial 23S ribosomal RNA". It matches the Rfam family "Bacterial large subunit ribosomal RNA", at positions 161 to 668 of the family's 2925-position model. RNAcentral also lists the same sequence under 7 other names. The record is from RNAcentral. Lineage: Bacteria; Pseudomonadati; Pseudomonadota; Gammaproteobacteria; Enterobacterales; Enterobacteriaceae.